CAAUGGGAAUCCCGGCUGCUGCAGAGAACCCCCAGUUCCAGAGCGGCGCUGGCCCUGGGCCUUCAGCUGGUUUUGCUCUGCAGGCAAAGCACUGCAACGCUUAUUUCUGUCUGCAGGAGAACAGCAAAGCAGAUUCUUUCUCUCACCCCCACUCCCCUCAAAAGUCGCAGAAAACAGGUCAUGUUAGGAAAGGAAAGGUGCCAUCCCGUAGGACAUUUUCCCCAAACUGUAAGACAGCCACUACCCAGCCUGGCUUCAAAGCCUCGUUUCGACCACAGACCCGAUGGGCCGACUGGAGAUGGGGCACGGAUAUGGGACACGGGGCUUGGGUUAGGGGACUUGCGAGCGAGCAGCCCGGCUCCGCCGCAGCGCCAUGCGGCAGCUCGUGGGCCACCACAAGGUCUGUUUAGCCAGACCGAGCACACACGCAAGGCACGUUGAGGGUACGGACACACACGGCAUGUGUGUAAAAGAGCAAACGCUGGCCAAAAGAUGAUGCCGGAUAAACGAAUUAAGCGGGCGGGGAAUUCUCGUCUAGGCAUUUAUACGCUAUUUUCCAGGCAGCUGUAAUCCCAAAGCAUUUUUCCUACCCAACUUUAGACCUUCCCUCACUUUACUAAGAUUUUUUU
Long non-coding RNA from Oxyura jamaicensis (ruddy duck), 629 nucleotides. RefSeq lists it as uncharacterized. The record is from RefSeq and is a predicted model, not a curated record. NCBI's taxonomy places the organism in Eukaryota, Metazoa, Chordata, Aves, Anseriformes, Anatidae. The transcript is spliced from 2 exons.